GCUGCGGCCGCGCCCCGGACCUUGAACGCGUGCCCGCCCUCGAGCGGUCCCCGGGAGCUCGCGGAAGCCCGGAGGCUGCCGCCCGCAGUCCUGCGUCUCGUAUCCGCUCGUCCCUUCACCGGACGCAGAUUGACUGAGCGCUGGCAAAAUGCCACGGGCGGAAAAAAAAAAAUGCCACGGGCGGUUCCAAGGGCUGGCGGUGCAUCCGAAAGGAAGGCGAAGAUCCCUUGAUAGCUUUGCCUUCAUCGAGCUUACAUCCUGGUGAAGAGAAGACGGGCAAAUAAGCAUAAUAAAUAAGUAGAUCAUAUAAAAUGUUGAAAGGUCCCACGGUCUCUACCUCACACCCCGGGGGGAAAGGAGGGGUGCUGUUUUCUCUGUUUCUGCCUGGCUGUGGACAUCAACCUUCCCUGGAGGUCCCCUGGCUCAGAUACAUCAGCCUGCAUUUCAAAGGAAGCUUCUAAGGAACAAUAAAAUGGAAAACAAGAAUCCUACAAACAGCACAUCCCACAUACCUCCUACCUUUGAAUCUCUCUCCUUCUCCUCCUCUCUACCCCCCCCCCAAGCCAUAUGAACCUUUUGGGAGCAGAAAGAGGGAUUGGUGUAGGCACGGGGGCUUCUUGGAGCACCUCCCACCACCACUACCACUAAAGCCAGAGUUAGAGUCACUCCUUCAUGGUAUCUCUGUACAGGGAAGGAAGAACUUAGAUCUUUGGGACACACCCCACCUCAUGCCACCCUCCUUACACUAAGAAAAAUAGUGUGUUUGGAGAGCCCAGAGCCUUUCAUCCUUACCUCUUAUCUAUCUCUAGUGGAACUGAUCACACUUUCCUAGUGAUGACCUCUUUUCCCUACUAGACCUUAUAUCUAAUUCAGCUUCACAUUCCUGCCAGUGCCCAGCUGAGAGCUCAAGCUAUAACAGCAGUGAACAUGUGUCGUUAUGUGCUAAAUACCAUGCUAAGCCUUUUUCGAGAAUUGUCUCCCUUCAUUCUCAAGACACCCUAUGAGACAGGGAGUGCCUUUAGCCUCAUUUUAGAGAUGAGAAAGAUGGGUUUCGGAGAGCUGAACUGGCCUAACAGCAUAGAAUUCCAAUAUGUUACACCUCCUCCCCCACUGAGUGAGUGAAUGAGUAAAUGAUGUCUCUUUCACGGAGAAGGGGGCCGAUCCCAGAGGUCUUUAGAGACAGACGAGUAGGCAAGCUCCACAUUGGUGAUAGCAAGUUCCAUUCUUUCUUCACCAGUCCAGCAUUGUACUAAGCCGGGCAGACAAGGCUAGCAGGCUAGCCUCAUGUUGUGUGGACUGUUUUCCUUUCAGGCUGCAAACAGCAAAGAUCUCUAUGCUGCCUGUGAUGUGUGAUAUAAAAAUGGACUCCUGGCCAAAGUUCCUAGAACCUUUGUAAAGUCCUAAGCAAUAAAAGUGCUAGGGGCAGGGGCAGCCCGGGUGGCUCAGCGGUUUAGCACCGCCUUCACCCCAGGGCCGGAUCCUGGGUACCUGGGAUAGAGUCCUACAUCGAGUUCCCUGCAUGGAGCCUGCUUCUCCCUCUGCCUGUGUCUCUGCCUCUCUCUCUCUCUCUCUCUCUCUCUCUCUCUCUCUCUCUCUCUCUCUCUCUCCCCCUGUGUGUGUCUGUCAUGAAUAAAUAAAUAAAUAAAAUCUUUAAAAAAAAAAAA
RNAcentral lists this long non-coding RNA (1664 nucleotides) under Canis lupus familiaris (dog). RNAcentral describes it as "lncRNA (ENSCAFG00845018279.1)". Lineage: Eukaryota; Metazoa; Chordata; Mammalia; Carnivora; Canidae. The record is from RNAcentral.